AAGUCUCUGCAGCGUUGUAGUGAAGAGAGAAUACGGGACAACUGCAGGACCACAGCUCAGCCAAGACACAACCACAUGACUGAAGACAGAGAUCAUCUGGGUCAGUGUUUCAGAAAAUGUUGCCAAGAAACUUCAAAUGCAGAUUCCUGGACCUCCGUGCAAACUACUAUAUUAGAAACAUUCGUGACCGGGCGCAGCGGCUCACACCUAUAAUCCCAGCGCUUUGGGAGGCCGAGGCGGGUGGAUCACGAGGUCAAGAAAUUGAGACCAUCCUGGCCAACAUGGUGAAACCCCGUCUCUACUAAAAAUACAAAAGUUAGCUGGGCAUGGUGGUGUGUGCUUGUAGUCCCAGCUACUCGGGAGGCUGAGGCAAGAGAAUUGCUUGAACCCGGGAAGCAGAGGUUGCAGUGAGCCAAGAUCACGCCACUGCACUCCAGCCUGGUGAUGAAGCGAGACUCCAUCUCAAAAAGAAAAAAAACAAAACAAAAACAUUCGUGUGCAUGUGUCUUUAUGGUAGAAUGAUUUUAACCCUUCGAGAAAUCACCAUACUGCUUUCCACAAUGGUUAAACUAACUUACAUUCCCACCAACAAUGUACAAGUGUUUCCUUUCCUCUGUAACCUUGUCAGCAACAGUUACUUUUUGACUUUUUAUCAACAGCCAUUCUGACUUGUGUGAGGUGGUUUUGAUUUGCAUUUCUCUAAUGUCAGUGAUAUUGAGCCUUUUUUCAAUGCUUGUUGACCACAUGUAUGUCUUUUAUUAAAAAAAA
This is a long non-coding RNA of Homo sapiens (human), 768 nucleotides long. Ensembl annotates it as long intergenic non-protein coding RNA 499. The record is from Ensembl. Lineage: Eukaryota; Metazoa; Chordata; Mammalia; Primates; Hominidae.